RNAcentral lists this unclassified non-coding RNA (339 nucleotides) under Hevea brasiliensis (rubber tree). Lineage: Eukaryota; Viridiplantae; Streptophyta; Magnoliopsida; Malpighiales; Euphorbiaceae. The record is from RNAcentral.
AGUUUGUUGUGUGUAUAUUUAUCUAAGUAAACUAGCUGUUCAAUAUUUCACAGCUUUGAAUUUCGAAGAUUUUCAUAAUUGUGUAGCUUUGCAAAAAUGGGCUGCCUUGUCUUGUGUUUACCUUGUAAAUUUUCAGGAGUCCAUAACCUCAUAGUACUGAUGUUACUUUUGGGAGUCUUUCUUAAAAGUUUAGGGCUGGCUUGGGAAUAUAGUGAUUUACUUGCGUUAUGAAACAAGGAUAAAAAAGCAAUUGUGUCUUAAAAUUUGGAACACAGGAAUUUUGUUUGGGUAGCACAAAAUAUGAUGAUGUGGUAAAUGGCCAAGGGACGGUUCCGAUAG